AAUUGGGGACUUGCUCAUUUUGAGUAGGCCAGAGCUAUUGAGCCACAAAUAACGAGUUGGCAAGACUGAGUGACAUUGACCUCCGAAGCCUUUAUCACAGCCAUGCGCGGUUCAGAUCUGUGAUCUCAAAACUCGGGAAGAUGGAGCAGGGGAAUUUCUAGUUCAAGGCUUGAACCACAGCUAUCUAGCACGACUCCUCCUCAAAAAUAAACAAAACAAAUUGUUUUCACUAUGAGCCAUGGCUGGGUCUUUAGGAGCUGCCUGCAAUUCUAAAGAUUCUGCAGUGGUUGCUGAAUGGGUGGUUGCAUUCCUUGCAACUUGUAACUCUUCGCAUAAACAGGGAAAUGGUGUUUGCUGAAUGAAUCGAAGCAAGGCAAUUUGGAAACCCUGUCACUGAGCCUUGCAGCCAUUCACACGCCUCUGAAUCACUUGGAGAAAUGAUCUGAGUCAGUAGAGCUGAGAUGCUACAGUUCUAAGGAGAUGCUGGUUGGUGACAGCUCUGCUGCUCUGGGUACUUCAUUUUGAGGAUGAGGUCAUUUGAAACCAAGGACAAAAGGGCGGCAAGAACACCCAUUGCCAUCAGCGAAAACCAGUCUGGCUGCUGAGGGAGGGGCAGGAGUUUUUCUGGCUGAUUCUGGCCAGCUCUUGCCCUGGCCAGUUCACUUUCCCUUUUCUUGUAAAUGUCUUUUGUCUUUCGUGGUUGGAGGGAAAUGAAGAAAGCCAACCAAAGGCCCAGUGGAGACAGGUGUCCCGCGCGAUAGUCUUGCCGGCAAGAACCACAUAGGACAUUCGGAUCCUUCUGCAGUAAAGCUUUAAUGCGUCUUGAGAGGAGAGCAUAAGCUUACCAGAGCGGAGACCCCGAGCCAAGA
Molecule: non-coding RNA, 869 nt
Organism: Cricetulus griseus (Chinese hamster)
Lineage: Eukaryota; Metazoa; Chordata; Mammalia; Rodentia; Cricetidae
Source: RefSeq, a predicted model, not a curated record